UACGGAGGGUGCAAGCGUUGCUCGGAAUUAUUGGGCGUAAAGGGUAGGUAGGUGGUCUCAUUUGUCUGGGGUGAAAGCCUUGAGCUUAACUCAAGAAGUGCCCCAGAAACGGUGAGACUGGAGUCCUGGAGAGGGUCGUGGAAUUCCCGGUGUCGCGGUGAAAUGCGUAGAGAUCGGGAGGAACACCAGAGGCGAAAGCGGCGACCUGGACAGGCACUGACACUCAACUACGAAAGCGUGGGGAGCAAACAGG
This 253-nucleotide ribosomal RNA is filed under the name uncultured bacterium. RNAcentral's name for it is "partial 16S ribosomal RNA". It matches the Rfam family "Bacterial small subunit ribosomal RNA", at positions 524 to 776 of the family's 1533-position model. The record is from RNAcentral.